AUGAACGCUGGCGGCCUGCCUAAUACAUGCAAGUCGAGCGAACAGACGAGGAGCUUGCUCCUCUGACGUUAGCGGCGGACGGGUGAGUAACACGUGGAUAACCUACCUAUAAGACUGGGAUAACUUCGGGAAACCGGAGCUAAUACCGGAUAAUAUAUUUAACCGCAUGGUUCAAUAGUGAAAGACGGUUUUGCUGUCACUUAUAGAUGGAUCCGCGCCGCAUUAGCUAGUUGGUAAGGUAACGGCUUACCAAGGCAACGAUGCGUAGCCGACCUGAGAGGGUGAUCGGCCACACUGGAACUGAGACACGGUCCAGACUCCUACGGGAGGCAGCAGUAGGGAAUCUUCCGCAAUGGGCGAAAGCCUGACGGAGCAACGCCGCGUGAGUGAUGAAGGUCUUCGGAUCGUAAAACUCUGUUAUUAGGGAAGAACAAAUGUGUAAGUAACUAUGCACGUCUUGACGGUACCUAAUCAGAAAGCCACGGCUAACUACGUG
This 496-nucleotide ribosomal RNA is filed under the name uncultured bacterium. Its description in RNAcentral is "partial 16S ribosomal RNA". It matches the Rfam family "Bacterial small subunit ribosomal RNA", at positions 29 to 507 of the family's 1533-position model. The record is from RNAcentral.